ACAUGGCCAGUGUGGCUAUCUCUGAUGGCAACAUCAAGAUGUCUAAUGACAUGAAGGCACACGAGUUGGUGACAUCAGAGGAGGUGAAACAGUGCAAGAAGGUAGUGCUCUUCUGACAUAAUGAGGCCAAGAAGAAUGUCACCCUGGAAGGGGCAAGGAGAUCCUCGUAGGUGGUGCAGGCCAGACUGUUGAUGGCCCUAUGCCACCUUAGUCAAGAUGCUGCCAGACAAGGACUGCUCCUCCACCCUCUAUGACACAGCCUGAGACCAAGAACAGCAAGAAGGAAGAUCUGGAGUUUAUCUUCUGGGACCCUGAGUCUGUACCCUCUAAGAGCUAAGUGACCUAUGCCAGCUCCAAGGAUGUCAUCAAGGGGAAGCUGAUGGAGAUCAAGCAUGAAUCACAAGGAGGUCAAGGGCCAUAGCAUCCUGGCAGAGAAGCUUGGAGGCAGCGCCAUCAUCUCCUGGAGGGCAUGCCU
This 475-nucleotide long non-coding RNA is filed under the name Homo sapiens (human). Its description in RNAcentral is "non-protein coding LINC01039:4". The record is from RNAcentral. Lineage: Eukaryota; Metazoa; Chordata; Mammalia; Primates; Hominidae.